This is a long non-coding RNA of Populus euphratica (Euphrates poplar), 1021 nucleotides long. RefSeq lists it as uncharacterized. The record is from RefSeq and is a predicted model, not a curated record. The transcript has 2 exons. NCBI's taxonomy places the organism in Eukaryota, Viridiplantae, Streptophyta, Magnoliopsida, Malpighiales, Salicaceae.
CUCACUGGCUGUCUGAUGGGGCCGACGGGGUCGUCGAGCUCCUUAAAGAGGGUGAAUUGUAAAAUCCCACAUCAGCGAGUGAGGAGUUGGUUGCUGGCCUUAUUAGUAGUGCUGGUCGCUGACCUUUUGUACGCGUUUUGAGGUGUCAGGUCUAAUGAUGGGCUCGCAUCACCAGGAACAAAACCGUGAGGGCGGAAGGCCCAGAGCGAACAAUAUACAGCAGGUUGGGCUAGGCUGUUACAUGCUCAAUCAAGUAAACGGGUACCUUGUUCACUCAGGAAGUAACUUUUACAAAACCUAGCUCCAAACCCUAAAAAUUUCACUCUAGAUAAGAAAAUUCCAUAUUAAGAAUUUCUAAUUCAAUGAAAAACUUCAUUACAUUUUAGAAUUAUCCAUUUUUAAGCUUCUACCACAAACUCAAUCAUUCAAGAAACUACAUGUGAUUUUUCUGGUAAUAGUCUUUAGCACAUUAAGCUUCUAAAAGGUCACCAACAUUAAAGGCUGCAAAUAUAUGAGAGGAGAGGGAGAAAAAAAAAGUUUCAUCAAAUAUAUUUCUUGACUUCAGUAACAAAAAAUUGUGACAGCAUCUCCUAAAACCACCAUCUAAAUUAUUCCUCUUUCCAAACACAUACAUUUGCUUAAAACUGUGCACAGAGAUAUGAGAGAUCUCAGUAAAAGAACAAAGAUGUUCUCAGGGAACAAAAAGGAGUUUGUUUUGUUAUAUAUUAAGCUUGAUUUGAAUACAAACAUAUAAACUAAUAGGAUGUUUGACCAAACCUUAUCAUCCCAGCGUUCAACACCUUGAUACAAUAGAGCAAAUUCAACAUCAAGAAAGGGAAAAAAAACAAAGUUGAAAGCAAAAUAAGCAUAUGCUGCUCAGAACUAAAGACCAACAAUUGGUUUUUAGUCUGGGUAAAGUACAGCCUUAUACGAGUGAUUAAGAUGCAUUUCUAAGCUUCAGUGUUACCUGCAUGAGACUGCUCUCAGAACUCACACCCACAGUUUAGUAAAAGUGGCCUUU